GAUGAAGAACGUAGCGAAAUGCGAUAAGUAAUGUGAAUUGCAGAAUUCAGUGAAUCAUCGAAUCUUUGAACGCACAUUGCGCCCGCCAGCAUUCUGGCAGGCAUGCCUGUUCGAGCGUCAUUUCAACCCUCAAGCUCUGCUUGGUGUUGGGGCCCUACGGUUGACGUAGGCCCUUAAAGGUAGUGGCGGACCCUCUCGGAGCCUCCUUUGCGUAGUAACUAACGUCUCGCAUUGGGAUUCGGAGGGACUCUUGCCGUAAAACCCCCAAAUUUUCUAAUGGUUGACCUCGGAUCAGGUAGGAAUACCCGCUGAACUUAAGCAUAUCAAUAAGCGGAGGA
Molecule: unclassified non-coding RNA, 338 nt
Filed under: soil metagenome
Description: partial contains 5.8S ribosomal RNA, internal transcribed spacer 2, and large subunit ribosomal RNA
Rfam family: 5.8S ribosomal RNA (bases 1-120)
Source: RNAcentral